GAUGAACCCUUUUGGGGUGCUUAACACAUGCAAGUCGAACGAAGCACUUUACCGGAUUUCUUCGGAAUGAAAGUUUUGUGACUGAGUGGCGGACGGGUGAGUAACGCGUGGGUAACCUGCCUCAUACAGGGGGAUAACAGUUAGAAAUGACUGCUAAUACCGCAUAAGACCACAGGACCGCAUGGUCCGGUGGUAAAAACUCCGGUGGUAUGAGAUGGACCCGCGUCUGAUUAGCUAGUUGGUAAGGUAACGGCUUACCAAGGCGACGAUCAGUAGCCGACCUGAGAGGGUGACCGGCCACAUUGGGACUGAGACACGGCCCAAACUCCUACGGGAGGCAGCAGUGGGGAAUAUUGCACAAUGGGGGAAACCCUGAUGCAGCGACGCCGCGUGAGCGAUGAAGUAUUUCGGUAUGUAAAGCUCUAUCAGCAGGGAAGAAUUAGGACGGUACCUGACUAAGAAGCACCGGCUAAAUACGUGCCAGCAGCCGCGGUAAUACGUAUGGUGCAAGCGUUAUCCGGAUUUACUGGGUGUAAAGGGAGCGUAGACGGAGAGGCAAGUCUGAUGUGAAAACCCGGGGCUCAACCCCGGGACUGCAUUGGAAACUGUUUUUCUAGAGUGUCGGAGAGGUAAGUGGAAUUCCUAGUGUAGCGGUGAAAUGCGUAGAUAUUAGGAGGAACACCAGUGGCGAAGGCGGCUUACUGGACGAUGACUGACGUUGAGGCUCGAAAGCGUGGGGAGCAAACAGGAUUAGAUCCCCCUGGUAGUCCACGCCGUAAACGAUGAAUGCUAGGUGUCGGGAGGCAAAGCCUUUGGGUGCCGCAACAAACGCAAUAAGCAGUCCACCUGGGGAGUACGUUCGCAAGAAUGAAACUCAAAGGAAUUGACGGGGACCCGCACAAGCGGUGGAGCAUGUGGUUUAAUUCGAAGCAACGCGAAGAACCUUACCUGCCCUUGACAUCCGGCUGACCGGCGAGUAAUGUCGCCUUUCCUUCGGGACAGCCGAGACAGGUGGUGCAUGGUUGUCGUCAGCUCGUGUCGUGAGAUGUUGGGUUAAGUCCCGCAACGAGCGCAACCCUUAUCUUUAGUAGCCAGCAUUUCGGAUGGGCACUCUAGAGAGACUGCCAGGGAUAACCUGGAGGAAGGUGGGGAUGACGUCAAAUCAUCAUGCCCCUUAUGGGCAGGGCUACACACGUGCUACAAUGGCGUAAACAAAGGGAGGCAAGCCUGCGAGGGUGAGCAAAUCCCAAAAAUAACGUCUCAGUUCGGAUUGUAGUCUGCAACUCGACUACAUGAAGCUGGAAUCGCUAGUAAUCGCGAAUCAGAAUGUCGCGGUGAAUACGUUCCCGGGUCUUGCACU
Molecule: ribosomal RNA, 1360 nt
Filed under: uncultured bacterium
Lineage: Bacteria
Description: bacterial SSU rRNA
Rfam family: Bacterial small subunit ribosomal RNA
Source: RNAcentral